This 511-nucleotide ribosomal RNA is filed under the name uncultured bacterium. RNAcentral's name for it is "bacterial SSU rRNA". It matches the Rfam family "Bacterial small subunit ribosomal RNA", at positions 230 to 753 of the family's 1533-position model. The record is from RNAcentral.
CCCGCGGCCUAUCAGCUUGUUGGUGGGGUAAUGGCCUACCAAGGCGACGACGGGUAGCCGACCUGAGAGGGUGAUCGGCCACACUGGGACUGAGACACGGCCCAGACUCCUACGGGAGGCAGCAGUGGGGAAUAUUGCACAAUGGGCGCAAGCCUGAUGCAGCGACGCCGCGUGAGGGAUGACGGCCUUCGGGUUGUAAACCUCUUUCAGUAGGGACGAAGCUUCGGUGACGGUACUUGCAGAAGAAGCACCGGCCAACUACGUGCCAGCAGCCGCGGUAAUACGUAGGGUGCGAGCGUUGUCCGGAAUUACUGGGCGUAAAGAGCUCGUAGGCGGUUUGUCGCGUCGUCUGUGAAAUUCUGCAACUCAACUGCAGGCGUGCAGGCGAUACGGGCAGACUUGAGUACUACAGGGGAGACUGGAAUUCCUGGUGUAGCGGUGAAAUGCGCAGAUAUCAGGAGGAACACCGGUGGCGAAGGCGGGUCUCUGGGUAGUAACUGACGCUGAGGAG